ACUCCUACGGGAGGCAGCAGUGGGGGAUAUUGCACAAUGGGGGAAACUCUGAUGCAGCGACGCCGCGUGAGUGAAGAAGUAUUUCGGUAUGUAAAGCUCUAUCAGCAGGGAAGAAAAUGACGGUACCUGACUAAGAAGCCCCGGCUAACUACGUGCCAGCAGCCGCGGUAAUACGUAGGGGGCAAGCGUUAUCCGGAUUUACUGGGUGUAAAGGGAGCGUAGACGGCGACGCAAGUCUGAAGUGAAAUACCCGGGCUCAACCUGGGAACUGCUUUGGAAACUGUGUUGCUGGAGUGCUGGAGAGGUAAGCGGAAUUCCUAGUGUAGCGGUGAAAUGCGUAGAUAUUAGGAAGAACACCAGUGGCGAAGGCGGCUUACUGGACAGUAACUGACGUUGAGGCUCGAAAGCGUGGGGAGCAAACAGGAUUAGAUACCCUGGUAGUCCACGCCGUAA
This 453-nucleotide ribosomal RNA is filed under the name uncultured bacterium. Its description in RNAcentral is "bacterial SSU rRNA". It matches the Rfam family "Bacterial small subunit ribosomal RNA", at positions 335 to 805 of the family's 1533-position model. The record is from RNAcentral.